UACGUAGGGGGCAAGCGUUGUCCGGAAUCAUUGGGCGUAAAGAGCGUGUAGGCGGCCCGAUAAGUCCGCUGUGAAAGUCCAGGGCUCAACCCUGGGAUGCCGGUGGAUACUGUCGGGCUCGAGUCCGGAAGAGGAGUGUGGAAUUCCAGGUGUAGCGGUGAAAUGCGUAGAUAUCUGGAGGAACACCGGUGGCGAAGGCGGCAUCCUGGACCGGUAUUGACGCUGAGGCGCGAAAGCUAGGGGAGCAAACGGG
Molecule: ribosomal RNA, 253 nt
Filed under: uncultured bacterium
Lineage: Bacteria
Description: partial 16S ribosomal RNA
Rfam family: Bacterial small subunit ribosomal RNA
Source: RNAcentral